RNAcentral lists this ribosomal RNA (672 nucleotides) under Messiasia californica. RNAcentral describes it as "partial 16S ribosomal RNA". Lineage: Eukaryota; Metazoa; Arthropoda; Insecta; Diptera; Mydidae. The record is from RNAcentral.
AUGUCAACAUGAGCAAACUUGGGCCUUCAAGACAGAGCUUCCCCAUUAAUAGAACAAUUAACCUUCUUUCACGAUCACACUCUCCUUAUCUUGAUCAUAAUUACCAUUUUAGUAGGUUAUAUUAUAUCAAUACUAUUCUUCAAUAUCUACACCAACCGAUUCCUUCUUCAUGGACAAACGAUUGAAAUAAUUUGAACCAUCCUCCCUGCCAUUGUCUUAUUAUUUAUCGCUUUUCCUUCUUUACGGUUACUCUAUUUAUUAGACGAAAUUAACGAACCUAUUAUUACAUUAAAAACAAUUGGCCACCAAUGGUACUGAAGUUAUGAAUAUUCAGACUUCAUUGACCUAGAAUUUGAUUCAUACAUAAUUCCUUCUAAUGAACUUCCUAUCGAUGGAUUCCGCUUAUUAGAUGUUGAUAACCACAUCGUUUUGCCCAUAAAUACUCAAAUUCGAAUUCUAGUUACAGCAGCAGACGUAAUUCAUUCAUGAACCAUCCCAGCUCUAGGUAUCAAAGUUGACGGAACUCCUGGACGAUUAAACCAAACAAAUUUCACCAUUAAUCGUCCAGGGCUAUAUUACGGCCAAUGUUCAGAAAUUUGUGGAGCAAAUCACAGAUUCAUACCAAUCGUAAUUGAAAGUGUACCAGCUAACUACUUCAUUAAAUGAUUACUU